Molecule: ribosomal RNA, 497 nt
Filed under: uncultured bacterium
Lineage: Bacteria
Description: partial 16S ribosomal RNA
Rfam family: Bacterial small subunit ribosomal RNA
Source: RNAcentral
GAUGAACGCUGGCGGCGUGCCUAAUACAUGCAAGUCGAGCGAACAGAUAAGGAGCUUGCUCCUUUGACGUUAGCGGCGGACGGGUGAGUAACACGUGGGUAACCUACCUAUAAGACUGGGAUAACUUCGGGAAACCGGAGCUAAUACCGGAUAACAUUUGGAACCGCAUGGUUCUAAAGUGAAAGAUGGUUUUGCUAUCACUUAUAGAUGGACCCGCGCCGUAUUAGCUAGUUGGUAAGGUAACGGCUUACCAAGGCGACGAUACGUAGCCGACCUGAGAGGGUGAUCGGCCACACUGGAUCUGAGACACGGUCCAGACUCCUACGGGAGGCAGCAGUAGGGAAUCUUCCGCAAUGGGCGAAAGCCUGACGGAGCAACGCCGCGUGAGUGAUGAAGGGUUUCGGCUCGUAAAACUCUGUUAUUAGGGAAGAACAAAUGUGUAAGUAACUGUGCACGUCCUGACGGUACCUAAUCAGAAAGCCACGGCUAACUACGUG